This 460-nucleotide ribosomal RNA is filed under the name uncultured bacterium. RNAcentral's name for it is "partial 16S ribosomal RNA". It matches the Rfam family "Bacterial small subunit ribosomal RNA", at positions 338 to 795 of the family's 1533-position model. The record is from RNAcentral.
CCUACGGGCGGCAGCAGUGAGGAAUAUUGGUCAAUGGACGAAAGCCUGAACCAGCCAAGUCGCGUGAAGGAUGACGGUCCUAUGGGUUGUAAACUUCUUUUAUAGGGGAGUAAAACGUUCUACGCGUGGGAUUUUGUAUGUACCCUAUGAAUAAGCAUCGGCUUACUCCGUGCCAGCCGCCGCGGUAAUACGGAGGGUCCGAGCGUUAGCCGGAUUUAUUGGGUUGAAAGGGUGCGUAGGAGGAUAGUUAAGUCAGUUGUGAAAGUUAGCGGGUCAACCGUAAAAUGGCAGUUGAAACUGGAAAGCUUGAGUGUGUUUGAGGUAGGCGGAAUGAGUGGUGUAGCGGUGAAAUGCAUAGAUAUCACGAAGAACUCCGAUUGCGAAGGCAGCUUACUGGGCCAUAACUGACACUGAGGCACGAAAGCGUGGGGAUCAAACAGGAUUAGAUACCCGAGUAGUC